UAUCCGACCCCGAGCAGGUGUUUUCCUGUGAUGUAAACCACCUCAAAUUCUUGAAAUGACACUUAACGCUUCUGCAUACACUUAAGGAGACUUUCGCAACACUUGCAUUGAAAUCGAAGCUUAAGAGAAUCCAAGCUGAUGAAUUUGCGGGGCGUAGAGUUAAUACAUACAGCUUGCAACCACAGUAUCCUACAGCCCAUCGGGCAUCGAGUGUCAAUUUGCUUGCUCAUAGGGGAUUCAGAUGGCACAAGGAAAACAACGAGUACAGAAUCUAGACAAGCACUGUCCUGGUGUACUGUUUAGUACCACAACCUGCCUGUUUGCGAAACUCAGUAUCUAUCAAAGAAGAAAAAAUACGAGCCAAAGAGGUGGGGAAAGCUGCUGUUCGGCAUUGGCAGUGAAAAGCCCAUCACAGCCUCUUGGAGGCUAUUAUUAGAUUUGAUGCUUAAACUUCAGCCUCAUUAAUUCUCAAUCAACUUUGAGCUCACGGGCUUGACUCAUUUCUUCUGAAAAUUAAAUCAGGGUGCAGUCUGUGUUUUGUCAGGUUGGCUAGCCCUGGUCGACAGCUUGGGUCACAACUCACAAGCUUCUGAGGAAAUAGGCCUGGCUCAUUUGUUUGGAGCAUCCUCUUCACAGGCAGCUAAAGCCAGUGUAUUGCUAAUGAAGAAUCAAAGUAAGGAGCCAUGGUAGUAAAGAUGAAAAUAUGAAUUUGACACCCUAAUUUGAGGGAACAAAAAAAAGGGCAGCAGCUAAUUAUGUAUUGUGUUAAAGCAGUAUUACAAGAAAUAUGUAUUUUUGCUUCAGUUUUGCCCAAAAUAAUCCUGCAAGUCAGUAUUUUAAUCUCAGCAUAUGGAAAUAAGAAAUUGCGAAAUCACCUCCUGAGAUUAUGCCAA
Populus nigra (black poplar) is the source of this 893-nucleotide long non-coding RNA. RefSeq lists it as uncharacterized. The transcript has 2 exons. The record is from RefSeq and is a predicted model, not a curated record. Lineage: Eukaryota; Viridiplantae; Streptophyta; Magnoliopsida; Malpighiales; Salicaceae.